Daphnia pulex (common water flea) is the source of this 3684-nucleotide long non-coding RNA. RefSeq lists it as uncharacterized. Lineage: Eukaryota; Metazoa; Arthropoda; Branchiopoda; Diplostraca; Daphniidae. The transcript has 8 exons. The record is from RefSeq and is a predicted model, not a curated record.
GUUGUUUAACUUUUUAAUUUUAACGACGUAUCAUACUGUCAUAGUGUCAUGUGAUGUCUGUGACAGUGUGAUGUGACUGUGCAACUAACUUAAGAUUCAAAACUCAUUACUAGAUGUCGCCAGUGUCGCCCUUGUUGUUCUUAUCGUGGGCGACGAGGUGAAAUCGGCUAUGGGUGAAAUGGGCGAAACAAAUUGGCAAAUUGCUGCUAAUUUCUACUUCUAUUCCUGUAAUUUCAAAUACCGAAUUUAACUUCAUAAGUUCAUAUCUAAUAUCAGCAUAGCCUACUGUCAGUCAUUCCAACAAGUUGACUAGUAGCGCUGAGUCAAUUUCCAUCCAUUAGAUCCUCAUGCUGUCAAAAGCCUAAAACUCAUGUUUGAAGCCCAAAUAUUGUGGAAUAAAAAAUAUGUAUUGAGAUAAGGUAUUUCCCCAUUACUGCUACCAGACCAUUACAAUUCAGAUUUUCAUAAACAUAGGUAUUCUUGCUUGUGAACCAUAGGAUCUUUUCUGAAUUUUGCAAUUUUUAUGGCUGUUUUUACUUCGGUUUAGAAGGCAACCGGCAACCCAGCUUAGAUCUUAGCCGGGUUACCUUCUAAACCCAACUCGAGUUUGAUUAGUUUCAUUUCUUAUAGGUAAAUUUGUGUAAAUUUGUAAAUAACAUAGAUAAUCCUUGUCCCAUUGCUGCUUAGAGUAGUGACAUGAAGAGUGUGAAGUGAAUAACCUGCAAUGUGUAUGUACAUGUACCAGAUCUGUACAUGAAAACAUAGAUAUAUUAUGUACGUAUAAUCAUUUUAUUCUUUCUAACAGAUGCGCAAACACGAAUGUUAUGAAUUUCGUUUUGGGGUCAAUGGAGUUGGCGCUGGUUGCCGUUACUGGCCUUUUGCGACGUCUUGAUAUCAGUUUACAAUAAUAGCUCUGGACUCUAGGGAAUCCAAACUCAUAUUCGAGGUAACCUUGCAGUCAACAUAAGUGAGGAGUUCUUGAUUCGUUAAAAUUUUUGCAUAUCUUCGUUGUGAUUCUUGCAUGCAAGUCAACCUGCAGAAAGGUCUGCCAGUUUGUCCAGACAGGAUGUCCUUCUCGCUUGAAGGUCACGAGAAAAUUACGUAAAACUGGCAUGCGGUGGUGAAGAGGAUGGGUGAGAAUGACACGUGUUUCAUCAUUAUCAAAGCAGACCCAUCCCCAGCAACGUCUACCUAAAGAAGGAAAGGCCAGUUUGCAUUUCAAUCGAAGGUCAUGGAGAUAAAAAAAAAACGUUUCAUGCAGUGGUGUAGAGGUUGGGUGAGAACGGGACGUUUUGCAUCAUUAUCAAGAAGGUAAAAUAACCGCAAGGCUUAAGAGGAGGGGUGAGAAAAAGUCGUAUAAAAGGCGAGAGAAAAGUCGACAUGGAUCAGUCGAGCGAGUAUCUUCGACAAGGGAACAGCUGUAGUGUACUAUUUGCCGUCAGCUGCAUUCUUCAUCGUACUAUCAGUUCUCAACCAUGGGUAAAUUUUCUGUUGUUGUAUGGAGUUAUGUAUCAAUUUCUAUUUUGUUUUCUCUUUGUUAACAUGCCAGAUAAUGUUGCAUAUUAUUUGUUAAAUUAUUUAUUUUUUAGUCGUACAUAAGGGCAAGGAUUAGGCGAAAGAAAUCAGUCGAGUGAGCAUCUCCGGUACGGUAACAGCAACUGCAGUGCACCAUUUGUCACCAACUGCAUUCUUCGUCGAAUUGCUAGUCAAAUCAUGGCAAACUAUGGCGUCGUGCUGCAGUUGUGUGUUGCAUCGUUGAUGGCUGGGUCGGCCACUGGUGUACCGAUGUCUCCUGGGUAUGGCGGCUAACAAAUCGAAACGCCGCCACCUUACUACACAAGAUACGGCUCGACCAGUUGCUACACCGAGGCCCCCAAGUACUGCACCAAGGCUCCAGAUUAUUAUCCUACUACUUAUGCUGCCCUGAGCUACUACACCGAAUCCCCACAGUAUUAUUCUUCCCCGAGCUACAAUACCAAAGGGUCGAUUACUACACCGAUGCUCCGAAGUACUACACCACCAAGACACCGGAGUACUGCACAACUACAUAUCAUGGAGAAAAGGCGAAAGAAAACCGUCGAGUGGUCAUCUCCGACACGGCAACAGUAACUGCAGUGCCAAGGCUCAGUAUUACACCACAAAUUAUGUUGCCCCGAGACUCUACCCCAAAGCGCCUGAGUGCUAUACCGAGGGCACUAAUUUCUACACCACCAAGGCACCGGAGUACUACACUGCAACAUACCCUGCUCCAGAUUAUUACAACGAGGCUCCCCAACACUACACCACCAAGGCACUGCAGUACUACACCACUACAUAUCAUGUAGAGGAAAGGUGAAAGAAUUCAGCAGCCGAGUGAGCAUCUCCGUUACAGCAACAGGAACUACCGUGCACUAUUUGUCAUCAACUUCAUCCUUCGUCGCAUUACAAGUUUUAAAUAAAGUAAACUUUGGCGUCGUGCUGCUGUUGGGCGUUAUAUCGUUGAUGGAUGGAUCGACCACUGGUGUGCUGAUUUCUCCUGGGUAUGGCGGGCGUGAAUAAUCCGUAGCAACCGGUUACUACACUGGGGCCUCCAAAUACUACACCUCCAAGGCUCCAGAGUAUUACACCACAACUUAUGCUGCCCCAAUGUUACUACGCAGAUGCUCCGAAGUAUUUUUCUUCCUCGAGCUUCACUACCUUCACCACGCCACUUACUAAUUAACAACGUCAACACCUACUUACUAUACGAAGGUCUCCAGUACUACGCCACAAAAGCUCCUGACUACUACACCGAGGACCUAACUUGUCACACCACUGAAGCGCCCAAGUAUUGCGCUACAACCUACGUUUCUCCAGCUUACACCACGAUGGCAGCGGAGUACUACACCACGAUGGCAGCGGAGUACUACACCACGAUGGCAGCGGAGUACUACACCACGAUGGCAGCGGAGUACUACACCACGAUGGCAGCGGAGUACUACACCACGAUGGCAGCGGAGUACUACACCACGAUGGCAGCGGAGUACUACACCACGAUGGCAGCGGAGUACUACAUCACGAUGGAAGCGGAGUACUACACCACGAUGGCAGCGGAGUACUACACCACGAUGGCAGCGAAGUACUACACCACGAUGGCAGCGGAGUACUACACCACGAUGGCAGCGGAGUACUACACCACGAUGGCAGCGGAGUACUACACCACGAUGGCAGCGGAGUACAACACCACAAGCUGCUUCCGCAACUUGCUACAUGGAGGUUCCUAAAUGAUAGAGCUGAAAUUUUCAUUUGAUUUUAUUUCCAUUUGUCGGUUGUCUUCACAUUGGUCACUGAGUGAAUUGUUGAAUUUAAAUGAGAAAAUAUAAAUUCUAACGCGGGUAAUUCUUUUGUAAGACUGUUGGUAGUAACUUCAAGCCUGUCGUCAUUUGACAGGUGUCUAUUGGUGUUUCUGCAAGGCCAGUGUUUCUUCACUUCUUCAAGGCCAGUAUCCUGCGCUGUGACAUGUCUGUUUCAUAUUUUGGAGGUGACUAUUGCCUUUAUCUGCAUUCGGACAUGUUCUUGUGUUUUGACGAUGUUACAAGGGUAGGUUACGAAAGGAGGUUGCAACUGUUGAUUUGGGUAAGUCUUAUAAGUAAAAGGCAAGUGGAUGAAUUUUGUAUAAAUGAAAGAAUUUGAAGUUGAGAAAAAUAUAUUGGAACAAUUCCUAAA